RNAcentral lists this long non-coding RNA (533 nucleotides) under Sorghum bicolor (sorghum). RNAcentral describes it as "long non-coding RNA (SBIC_LNC004176)". The record is from RNAcentral. Lineage: Eukaryota; Viridiplantae; Streptophyta; Magnoliopsida; Poales; Poaceae.
ACCCUGACACCCCCCUGCACCUCUUCCCACCCUGGUACUGGUAGGUAUACAUACGGUACGUCAUACGAGACGAGGCGGCGGAGCGGGGGGGUCAGGGAGGCGGGGGCCGUUCAGGCCCGGGCGUAGGAGCGGGCGAGGUGCGCGGCGCGGAGGUCGGCGGGGUCGACGGCGGCGGCCCAGUUGGCGGGGCGGUAGUGGCCCGUGACGGGGUCGGGCACCCACGAGAUCUCGGAGCUGGCAGCGGCGCGCCCGCCGGCCUCCCUGGCCUCGCCCGCACCAGCCGCGCCCUCCGCCGCGGCCGCCGCGCGCCUCAUGGCCCCGGACGCCGCCGACGCCGCGUAGCCCCUGAUGCUGGCUGCCCUGGGUGCCAGCGACGCGAGCACGGCGCGCGCGGAGGAGAGAGCGACGAGAGCCAUCGGACCAGCUGCUGGCCUUUCUGCUGCUUGGGCAGGCAAGCAAAAGGAUCGGACGGCUGGCUGUGGCUGGCUGGUGGCGCUCUGCUGCUCUCUCCCGUGCUCUGCUUUGCGGCUGCU